AAAAAGAUAAGCUAAAAAAGCUUUUAGGUUCAUACCCUAACUAUAAAGACAAAUCUUUUCUUUUUA
Molecule: transfer RNA, 66 nt
Filed under: Staphylinoidea sp. 12 KM-2017
Lineage: Eukaryota; Metazoa; Arthropoda; Insecta; Coleoptera
Description: tRNA-Met
Source: RNAcentral